GACGAACGCUGGCGGCGUGCUUAACACAUGCGAGUCGAACGGAAAGGCCCUGCUUGCAGGGUACUCGAGUGGCGAACGGGUGAGUAACACGUGGGUGAUCUGCCCUGCACUUCGGGAUAAGCUUGGGAAACUGGGUCUAAUACCGGAUAGGAGCCAUCUUUAGUGUGGUGGCUGGAAAGUUUUUUCGGUGUAGGAUGAGCUCGCGGCCUAUCAGCUUGUUGGUGGGGUAAUGGCCUACCAAGGCGGCGACGGGUAGCCGGCCUGAGAGGGUGUACGGCCACAUUGGGACUGAGAUACGGCCCAGACUCCUACGGGAGGCAGCAGUGGGGAAUAUUGCACAAUGGGCGCAAGCCUGAUGCAGCGACGCCGCGUGGGGGAUGAAGGCCUUCGGGUUGUAAACUCCUUUCGCUAGGGACGAAGCUUUGUUGUGACGGUACCUAGAUAAGAAGCACCGGCUAACUACGUG
RNAcentral lists this ribosomal RNA (466 nucleotides) under uncultured bacterium. RNAcentral's name for it is "partial 16S ribosomal RNA". It matches the Rfam family "Bacterial small subunit ribosomal RNA", at positions 28 to 507 of the family's 1533-position model. The record is from RNAcentral.